RNAcentral lists this ribosomal RNA (497 nucleotides) under uncultured bacterium. Its description in RNAcentral is "partial 16S ribosomal RNA". It matches the Rfam family "Bacterial small subunit ribosomal RNA", at positions 28 to 507 of the family's 1533-position model. The record is from RNAcentral.
GAUGAACGCUGGCGGCGUGCCUAAUACAUGCAAGUCGAGCGAACAGACGAGGAGCUUGCUCCUCUGACGUUAGCGGCGGACGGGUGAGUAACACGUGGAUAACCUACCUAUAAGACUGGGAUAACUUCGGGAAACCGGCGCUAAUACCGGAUAAUAUAUUGAACCGCAUGGUUCAAUAGUGAAAGACGGUUUUGCUGUCACUUCUAGAUGGAUCCGCGCCGCAUUAGCUAGUUGGUAAGGUAACGGCUUACCAAGGCAACGAUGCGUAGCCGACCUGAGAGGGUGAUCGGCCACACUGGAACUGAGACACGGUCCAGACUCCUACGGGAGGCAGCAGUAGGGAAUCUUCCGCAAAGGGCGAAAGCCUGACGGAGCAACGCCGCGUGAGUGAUGAAGGUCUUCGGAUCGUAAAACUCUGUUAUUAGUGAAGAACAAAUGUGUAAGUAACUAUGCACGUCUUGACGGUACCUAAUCAGAAAGCCACGGCUAACUACGUG